Non-coding RNA from Misgurnus anguillicaudatus (oriental weatherfish), 547 nucleotides. NCBI's taxonomy places the organism in Eukaryota, Metazoa, Chordata, Actinopteri, Cypriniformes, Cobitidae. The record is from RefSeq and is a predicted model, not a curated record.
GGGGAGGAGGCCGGCAAAGUGGUGAGGGGGAGUGAGAGAAUGAGCGAGCGAGAGAGAGAGCUUCACAGAGGGACACUGUAGCUUUGGGAUGGCCAGUUGCGUAUGUACGGAGACUGAAUGCCAAUCCAAAGAUUACACCAGCUCCAGUCUGGAUCCAGCCUCCCACAAGGAUGUCAGAUGACCCAACACCAAUGGAAGAUGAUGCCAGACCAUGGAAAAACCUCAUAUGAAGCCCACAAAGAUGUCACAUGACCUAACAUCAGUGGAAGAUGACACCGGCCCAUGAAAGGACUUCAAAGGGCUUCAUACUGUAUGAUGCCAAUCUGAACUCUGAAUUGAUUUAAAUUUGUCUUUGUAGUUUUGAGUUUCUUAAAUAUUUGAUUUGUCAGGUGUUUCCUGUAUGCUGCUGAUUUUAUGCAUAUUCUACAUUUUGUCUUCUGUAAAGCUGUUUGCAACAGUGUAAACAUGUUGAAUUCAACAUAACUUAAUAUUUAGUUCUCAUUUGACCUCCAUUAAAUGAAAAAAGACAUUAUUGGAAAACAACUUU